UAGAGCCCAGUACAACGGAGAGUUGUAUGCUGCGUUCAGGAAGAAUGAAUCACUCCCGAAAGGGAAUCUAUUAAUUCUCUCCCAAUUGAUUGGACAAUAGGUGCAAUCACUUACUUCAC
Molecule: non-coding RNA, 119 nt
Organism: Capsicum annuum
Lineage: Eukaryota; Viridiplantae; Streptophyta; Magnoliopsida; Solanales; Solanaceae
Source: Rfam